This 427-nucleotide long non-coding RNA is filed under the name Helianthus annuus (common sunflower). Its description in RNAcentral is "hypothetical non coding rna". The record is from RNAcentral. Lineage: Eukaryota; Viridiplantae; Streptophyta; Magnoliopsida; Asterales; Asteraceae.
UUGGAUGAUCAUCCUCAGCUGUGUAAUAAGUUUUUGUGUGAAGAAUUCCCGAUCUUGAAAUGCGAAUAUUCGGGUAGUGAGGAAGCCAUUUCUUUGAUUCAUUUUUCAUACAAAGAGAAAGGGUGCCUCGGUUUGCGGUUUACAGUUAUAGCAGCAAGCGUGACUGCUUGAUUCGUGGGGCUGAUUCUCUUGAAGCUCAUUCUAUAGAUAAUUUGUAUGUUUAAUGUUGUAGCUGUCAAAAACAGGACAUUUAAAUGAAAGGUUUUUGUUGUAUUUUAAGAUAUUCUGUAACUGUUAUAAUACCAGAAAUGUGAAUAUCAUGAACAGUUGGGUGUUUGCUUGGAUGGAUACCGGGGAUAAACGUUAUGUCGUAUAUGCUAUUGUUUACUUGGCUCCUUACUUAAGACCUCGGAUUCAAGCUGGUUGA